GCCUCACGGUCAGCGGCUGUCAGCCGAUGCCCCCGCUUCGCAGCCAGGGACACCAGUCAGGCCCCGAGUCUCACCAGUCACCAAUAGGGCCAAGGUUCUCCAUCUCAUGUCAUCAGCCUGGACCCUGCUAUACAUGAAGUCUCCUUUCCUGCCAGUACAGGGCAUGGUUACCAGAACUUGAGAGCUUGAAGCCUAGCAUCCUUUGGAAGGAAGGGAAUCAAUGUAAAGGCUGAGAAGUGGAAGAAUCCUCGACAAAAGAAACCUGGUUAUAUAGUAUUAUUGUCUUGCUGGCUGGAAGGUAUGUCCUUUUGCCCUACAUUGUCUUUCUCUGAAACCAGGCGCCUUAGUUUUUUUGACAAGUGGCUUGGUUGCUUGUUCUGAAUUCAAGGAACUAAGGAGAGUUUUGCUCCAGCUCCUGCUCCUCUGUGGUACCUGUUUCAAUGUUUUGCUGGUCGCUGGACCCAGGACUGCAUAAAGGGUAAUAGUUUCCAGUAUGCUGUUCCUCAU
Long non-coding RNA from Octodon degus (degu), 507 nucleotides. RefSeq lists it as uncharacterized. Lineage: Eukaryota; Metazoa; Chordata; Mammalia; Rodentia; Octodontidae. The record is from RefSeq and is a predicted model, not a curated record. The transcript has 3 exons.